Molecule: small nucleolar RNA, 111 nt
Filed under: Capsicum annuum
Lineage: Eukaryota; Viridiplantae; Streptophyta; Magnoliopsida; Solanales; Solanaceae
Description: Plant small nucleolar RNA R71
Rfam family: Plant small nucleolar RNA R71
About the family: R71 is a member of the C/D box family of snoRNAs containing the C (UGAUGA) and D (CUGA) box motifs.
Source: Rfam by way of RNAcentral
AUACUAUUGGUGGUGUGGACACUCCUGAAGAAGAUCCUUGAAGCACUCCCAAGCAUGAUAGAGGUUUUUAUCAGGCUUCUAUUUGAAGCUUACCAUCUCACUGCAAAGUCU